CACCCCGAUGCCCUCACCCCAUAGCCAAGUUGUUGUGGGGUUUUUUUGUUUGUUUUUUCUGGGUAUUCAAUAAAGUACGUCAUCAAAGUGUGCGUUUUUACCCUUGCAGAAGCAACAUUGGAUUUAUCUUACUUCUGUUAUUGCAGACAAAGGCUCUGCAGACGCUCCUAGACGGAUAUGUUUUAAUGUGCUCCUAUGUGGAUUGACUUAAGUCCAUUUUCCACAUGUUGAUCCUUGAAUUUUUCAGGAAGGUCUUAUUACAUUGUGGAAAUGUUGGUGCCACCGGUGGUUGUGGAAACAUUGGCACUCCAAAGCUGACACUUUUCCCCAUUCGCUUAUGAGACCUCUUCGGUGUUUAAAUGACAAAUAUAUCAAAUACUCCUCAAGUACACCUUCAGAAUGAAUGAUACAGGCCCAGAGUACUGUUGUGGUCAACACUAACAAUAAAUCGUUGUCAUUCAGAUACCUCAAAAUAAACAAUUUUAGGAAUUACUGGGCAACACACACAUACAACACACACACAAGUUAGAACACGUUAUCAUGUACAUUCCAAUUAUACAAGUAAUAGUUUGCUUCCUUAGAAUAUGAACAUCAGCAGUGCAGACAUCCGAGAACCUGGAAAUAUAAGAUCCCCUUGUUAUAAGAAGAAUUCGGUGAUUUACAGCUUAGAUACC
Non-coding RNA from Pelobates cultripes (western spadefoot toad), 674 nucleotides. NCBI's taxonomy places the organism in Eukaryota, Metazoa, Chordata, Amphibia, Anura, Pelobatidae. The record is from the annotation of a GenBank genome assembly.